UUGAAAAACAUGUUCUGACCUGUUUUGAAACCAUUCCCGAAACAUUAUACAAAGAUCGAACUGUGCACAAACAAGUAAAUCAAACCAAACCUCUACUGAACACAAACAAGUAAACCAUGUUGCAUUCCUUUGCUUGUAAUAAACUUUACAACCAAACAUCAAACAAAAUCGACGAACUUUUACGCAUCAUACAAACAGAAUCAAACUGAAUCAAACUUCUAAUCAUCAUACACGCAAAAUCAAAACAAAUGAAAGAAAUUGAAAAAAAAAAAUCGACAAUUAAUACUUGUUCGGUUUC
Molecule: long non-coding RNA, 298 nt
Filed under: Brassica napus (rape)
Lineage: Eukaryota; Viridiplantae; Streptophyta; Magnoliopsida; Brassicales; Brassicaceae
Description: long non-coding RNA (BNAP_LNC015798)
Source: RNAcentral